Molecule: transfer RNA, 73 nt
Filed under: Boudabousia marimammalium
Lineage: Bacteria; Bacillati; Actinomycetota; Actinomycetes; Actinomycetales; Actinomycetaceae
Also listed under: 2 other names
Description: Actinomyces marimammalium tRNA
Rfam family: tRNA
About the family: Transfer RNA (tRNA) molecules are approximately 80 nucleotides in length. Their secondary structure includes four short double-helical elements and three loops (D, anti-codon, and T loops).
Source: Rfam by way of RNAcentral
GCUCCCAUCGUCUAGUGGCCUAGGACGCCGCCCUCUCAAGGCGGUAACACGGGUUCAAAUCCCGUUGGGAGUA